RNAcentral lists this ribosomal RNA (433 nucleotides) under uncultured bacterium. Its description in RNAcentral is "partial 16S ribosomal RNA". It matches the Rfam family "Bacterial small subunit ribosomal RNA", at positions 29 to 507 of the family's 1533-position model. The record is from RNAcentral.
AACGAACGCUGGCGGCAUGCCUAACACAUGCAAGUCGAACGAGACCUUCGGGUCUAGUGGCGCACGGGUGCGUAACGCGUGGGAACCCGCCUUUAGGUUCGGAAUAACUCAGAGAAAUUUGAGCUAAUACCGGAUGAUGUCUUCGGACCAAAGAUUUAUCGCCUUUAGAUGGGCCCGCGUUGGAUUAGCUAGUUGGUGGGGUAAAGGCCUACCAAGGCGACGAUCCAUAGCUGGUCUGAGAGGAUGAUCAGCCACACUGGGACUGAGACACGGCCCAGACUGCUACGGGAGGCAGCAGUGGGGAAUAUUGGAGAAGGGGCGAAAGCCUGAUCCAGCAAUGCCGCGUGAGUGAUGAAGGCCUUAGGGUUGUAAAGCUCUUUUACCCGAGAUGAUAAUGACAGUAUCGGGAGAAUAAGCGCCGGCUAACUCCGUG